Molecule: ribosomal RNA, 551 nt
Filed under: uncultured Glomeromycotina
Lineage: Eukaryota; Fungi; Glomeromycota
Description: SSU rRNA
Rfam family: Eukaryotic small subunit ribosomal RNA
Source: RNAcentral
UUGGAGGGCAAGUCUGGUGCCAGCAGCCGCGGUAAUUCCAGCUCCAAUAGCGUAUAUUAAAGUUGUUGCAGUUAAAAAGCUCGUAGUUGAACUUCGGGGUCUACCCAUUGGUCAGGCUUAAUUGUCUGCACUGGUGAGAUGGAUCUCUACCUUCUGAGGAACUUUCAUGCCAUUUAUUUGGUGUGAUGGGAAAUCAGGACUGUUACUUUGAAAAAAUUAGAGUGUUUAAAGCAGACUAUCGUCUGAAUACAUUAGCAUGGAAUAAUGAAAUAGGACGGACUGAUUCUAUUUCGUUGGUUUCUAGGAUCACCGUAAUGAUUGAUAGGGAUAGUUGGGGGCAUUAGUAUUCAAUUGUCAGAGGUGAAAUUCUUGGAUUUAUUGAAGACUAACUACUGCGAAAGCAUUUGCCAAGGAUGUUUUCAUUAAUCAAGAACGAAAGUUAGGGGAUCGAAGACGAUCAGAUACCGUCGUAGUCUUAACCAUAAACUAUGCCGACUAGGGAUCGGACGAAGUUAAUUUUAUAAUGACGCGUUCGGCGCCUUACGGGAAAC